AUACGGAGGGUGCAAGCGUUAAUCGGAAUUACAGGGCGUAAAGCGUACGUAGGCGGUUAUUUAAGUCAGAUGUGAAAGCCCCGGGCUUAACUUGGGAACUGCAUUUGAAACUGGGUAACUAGAGUUUAGUAGAGGGGAGUGGAAUUUCAGGUGUAGCGGUGAAAUGCGUAGAGAUCUGAAGGAACACCAGUGGCGAAGGCGACUCCCUGGACUAAAACUGACGCUGAGGUACGAAAGCGUGGGUAGCAAACAGGAUUAGAAACCCUAGUAGUCC
Molecule: ribosomal RNA, 274 nt
Filed under: uncultured bacterium
Lineage: Bacteria
Description: partial 16S ribosomal RNA
Rfam family: Bacterial small subunit ribosomal RNA
Source: RNAcentral